CUUGCAUACCUAUAAGAGGUCCAGCCUGCCCAGUGACUCUGUUCAACGGCCGCGGUAUCCUAACCGUGCGAAGGUAGCGUAAUCACUUGUUCUUUAAAUGAGGACUAGUAUGAAUGGCAUCACGAAGGUUAUACUGUCUCCUCUUUCCAAUCAGUGAAACUAAUCUCCCCGUGAAGAAGCGGGGAUAACUUUAUAAGACGAGAAGACCCUAUGGAGCUUUAAACUAAGAAUCAACUGACUUUUCCGCUUUUAAAUUCCAGAAAACUAACUUUUACCAAGACACUCUGAUUUCUAGUUUUAGGUUGGGGUGACCACGGAGUAAAAACUAACCUCCGCAAUGAACAGGGAUCUUCCCUUAACCAAGGACCACAACCCUAAGAAUCAACACAUUGACAUCAAUUGACCCAAAAAAAUUUGAUCAAUGAAC
Molecule: ribosomal RNA, 427 nt
Filed under: Leptodactylus knudseni group sp. ABGD cluster 32
Lineage: Eukaryota; Metazoa; Chordata; Amphibia; Anura; Leptodactylidae
Description: partial large subunit ribosomal RNA
Rfam family: Bacterial large subunit ribosomal RNA
Source: RNAcentral